AACAUACUCCCUCCGUUCCAAAAUUUUUGUCUUAGAUUUGUCUAGAUAUGAAUGUAUCUGGUCACGUUUUAGUAUUUUGAUACAUUCAUUUUUAGACAAACUUAAGACAAGAAUUUUGGAACGGAGGGAGUACUAU
This 136-nucleotide microRNA precursor is filed under the name Hordeum vulgare. RNAcentral's name for it is "microRNA MIR1122". It matches the Rfam family "MIR1120/MIR1122 microRNA precursor family". Lineage: Eukaryota; Viridiplantae; Streptophyta; Magnoliopsida; Poales; Poaceae. The record is from RNAcentral.